CUAGCAUAUCAAUAAGCGGAGGAAAAGAAACCAACAGGGAUUGCCCUAGUAACGGCGAGUGAAGCGGCAACAGCUCAAAUUUGAAAUCUGGCUCUUUCAGAGUCCGAGUUGUAAUUUGCAGAGGGCGCUUUGGCUUUGGCAGCGGUCCAAGUUCCUUGGAACAGGACGUCACAGAGGGUGAGAAUCCCGUACGUGGUCGCUAGCUAUUGCCGUGUAAAGCCCCUUCGACGAGUCGAGUUGUUUGGGAAUGCAGCUCUAAAUGGGAGGUAAAUUUCUUCUAAAGCUAAAUACUGGCCAGAGACCGAUAGCGCACAAGUAGAGUGAUCGAAAGAUGAAAAGCACUUUGGAAAGAGAGUCAAACAGCACGUGAAAUUGUUGAAAGGGAAGCGCUUGCAGCCAGACUUGCUUGCAGUUGCUCAUCCGGGCUUUUGCCCGGUGCACUCUUCUGCAGGCAGGCCAGCAUCAGUUUGGGCGGUGGGAUAAAGGUCUCUGUCACGUACCUCUCUUCGGGGAGGCCUUAUAGGGGAGGCGACAUACCACCAGCCUGGACUGAGGUCCGCGCAUUUGCUAGGAUGCUGGCGUAAUGGCUGUAAGCGGCCCGUCUUGAAACACGGACCAAGGAGUCUAACAUCUAUGCGAGUGUUUGGGUGUCAAGCCCGAACGCGUAAUGAAAGUGAACGGAGGUGGGAACCCGCAAGGGUGCACCAUCGACCGAUCCUGAUGUCUUCGGAAGGAUUUGAGUAAGAGCAUGGCUGUUGGGACCCGAAAGAUGGUGAACUAUGCUUGAAUAGGGUGAAGCCAGAGGAAACUCUGGUGGAGGCUCGCAGCGGUUCUGACGUGCAAAUCGAUCGUCAAAUUUGGGCAUAGGGGCGAAAGACUAAUCGAACUAUCUAGUAGCUGGUUCCUGCCGAGU
This 913-nucleotide ribosomal RNA is filed under the name Darksidea delta. RNAcentral's name for it is "partial large subunit ribosomal RNA". It matches the Rfam family "Eukaryotic large subunit ribosomal RNA", at positions 34 to 966 of the family's 3401-position model. Lineage: Eukaryota; Fungi; Ascomycota; Dothideomycetes; Pleosporales; Lentitheciaceae. The record is from RNAcentral.